This 478-nucleotide ribosomal RNA is filed under the name uncultured bacterium. Its description in RNAcentral is "bacterial SSU rRNA". It matches the Rfam family "Bacterial small subunit ribosomal RNA", at positions 29 to 482 of the family's 1533-position model. The record is from RNAcentral.
AACUAACGCUGGCGGCGUGCCUAACACAUGCAAGUCGUACGAGAAAGUCGGCUUCGGCUGAUGAGUAAAGUGGCGCACGGGUGAGUAACGCGUGGAUAAUCUGCCCUUUAGUUGGGAAUAACGUACCGAAAGGUGCGCUAAUACCGAAUAAUGCUGAGUGACAUCAGUUAUUUAGCCAAAGAAGGCCUCUGCUUGCAAGCUUUCGCUGAAGGAUGAGUCCGCGUACCAUUAGCUAGUUGGUAGGGUAAUGGCCUACCAAGGCGACGAUGGUUAGCUGGUCUGAGAGGAUGAUCAGCCACACUGGAACUGAGACACGGUCCAGACUCCUACGGGAGGCAGCAGUGAGGAAUAUUGCGCAAUGGGGGCAACCCUGACGCAGCAACGCCGCGUGAGUGAGGAAGGUUUUCGGACUGUAAAGCUCUGUCGAGCGGGAAGAAAUGCCUGAUGGCUAAUAUCCAUCAUGCUUGACGGUACCGCG